RNAcentral lists this ribosomal RNA (253 nucleotides) under uncultured bacterium. RNAcentral's name for it is "partial 16S ribosomal RNA". It matches the Rfam family "Archaeal small subunit ribosomal RNA", at positions 474 to 726 of the family's 1478-position model. The record is from RNAcentral.
UACCAGCACCCCGAGUGGUCGGGACGUUUUAUUGGGCCUAAAGCAUCCGUAGCCGGUUCUACAAGUCUUCCGUUAAAUCCAACUGCUUAACAGGUGGGCUGCGGAAGAUACUAUAGAGCUAGGAGGCGGGAGAGGCAAGCGGUACUCGAUGGGUAGGGGUAAAAUCCGUUGAUCCAUUGAAGACCACCAGUGGCGAAGGCGGCUUGCCAGAACGCGCUCGACGGUGAGGGAUGAAAGCUGGGGGAGCAACCGG